This 253-nucleotide ribosomal RNA is filed under the name uncultured bacterium. Its description in RNAcentral is "partial 16S ribosomal RNA". It matches the Rfam family "Bacterial small subunit ribosomal RNA", at positions 524 to 776 of the family's 1533-position model. The record is from RNAcentral.
UACAGAGGUGGCAAGCGUUGUUCGGAAUUACUGGGCGUAAAGGGCGCGUAGGCGGCCCACUAAGUCAGACGUGAAAUCCCUCGGCUCAACUGAGGAACUGCCUUUGAAACUGUCUGGCUUGAGGCCGGGAGAGGGUAGCGGAAUUCCCAGUGUAGCGGUGAAAUGCGUAGAUACUGGGAGGAACACCGGUGGCGAAGGCGGCUACCUGGACCGGAACUGACGCUGAGGCGCGAAAGCGUGGGUAGCAAACAGG